RNAcentral lists this microRNA (22 nucleotides) under Salmo salar (Atlantic salmon). RNAcentral's name for it is "ssa-miR-148b-3p". Its record names the gene ssa-miR-148b-3p. Lineage: Eukaryota; Metazoa; Chordata; Actinopteri; Salmoniformes; Salmonidae. The record is from miRBase by way of RNAcentral.
UCAGUGCAUUACAGAACUUUAU